GAUGAACGCUGGCGGCGUGCCUAAUACAUGCAAGUCGAGCGAACAGACGAGGAGCUUGCUCCUCUGACGUUAGCGGCGGACGGGUGAGUAACACGUGGAUAACCUACCUAUAAGACUGGGAUAACUUCGGGAAACCGGAGCUAAUACCGGAUAAUAUAUUGAACCGCAUGGUUCAAUAGUGAAAGACGGUUUUGCUGUCACUUAUAGAUGGAUCCGCGCCGCAUUAGCUAGUUGGUAAGGUAACGGCUUACCAAGGCAACGAUGCGUAGCCACCUGAGAGGGUGAUCGGCCACACUGGAACUGAGACACGGUCCAGACUCCUACGGGAGGCAGCAGUAGGGAAUCUUCCGCAAUGGGCGAAAGCUUGACGGAGCAACGCCGCGUGAGUGAUGAAGGUCUUCGGAUCGUAAAACUCUGUUAUUAGGGAAGAACAAAUGUGUAAGUAACUAUGCACGUCUUGACGGUACCUAAUCAGAAAGCCACGGCUAACUACGUG
This 496-nucleotide ribosomal RNA is filed under the name uncultured bacterium. Its description in RNAcentral is "partial 16S ribosomal RNA". It matches the Rfam family "Bacterial small subunit ribosomal RNA", at positions 28 to 507 of the family's 1533-position model. The record is from RNAcentral.